UCAACACCUGGGCAGUCAGGGCUGACCUGUGGCUCAUCGCGUGUGUUACCGUUGCAUGCUCGCAAAAAAAGGUGAACCGGAACGCAUUGACCGGCAUCAUCAAAGAUGCACAGAAGAAGCUUGACAGAACACAGAAUUAGCGCGGCAAAUCGAGUUCUGGAACAACCACACAACGUGUGUUAGUUUGGCGCAAGCAUCGAAAUUCCGGGGGGGCAGACAUCCAGCACCAGUGUCGAUUACCACACGAUCGAACGACUGGGGGAGCGCACUGAGGGGAUCUCGCACGGCGUCGUUCUUUCCGGACACGGUCCACAUCCGACCAACAGAAGUGCUUUCCCACGAAACUGAAGUGAACACACAUUGUUGGCGAUCGGAGAAGCAAACUGACGGGAUCCCGCACGCCAUCACUGUUUCGGAACGUGGUCCACAUUUGAGCAACAGAAGAGCCUUCCCAGGAAGGCUCUUUCUUUUGUAUUUUCUGCAGCUAGACACGCUGAUCAAGAGCCACGGCUCCCCGAAAGAGAAGCAAAGAGCGACGACGAUUAUGGUGAAGGACUACCAAGGGUCAGAUCCGAGGGAUCCGAGUAAGGACCACACUGCGUGAGAGGUAGGAGGCGAAAAGCGUUCGAGUGGCGUAAACCAGCUCAUUCGAGAGGCGGUGUGCACGGAUCACGCUCGGUCAGCUCCUAGCAGCGGUGGCGAGGCAAAUCUAAUUCUUCUUCGGCCGACAUAGCGGCCCAGCUGCGAGGUACCCGCGGAUCGCCGAGCCCUUGAUACAGACAGGAGUCCCCAACUCACCUUCGACGGGCAGGUCUGGCUGAUGACAGGUAUGCGGAGAGAGGCACGAAGCAAAGGUAGCAGCAGACGUGAGUGCUAGGAUUAAGAACAUGUAAAAAGGAAGAAAAAAAGCAUGCAUAGUGAGCAGGAGAGUAGGGCCGCAGAAAGAAGCAUGAAGGGUAUGAAGCACAAUAAUAAAAUGUUUGCACACUAAGUCUUGUUUUGUGGCGUUUGUAGUUGACUAGCCCGGCCGACUAAUCCCCUUUUCGUCACGGAGAGGUCGUUUCACAACCCAUGAUCAACGAAGAGUUUUGAAUCUACGAAAGGAAGAAACGGGGACAGGUACCAACCGUUUCACAAUCAGGGGGAAAGAUGAUUGACGAAUCUUUAGGAGUGACUUUGCUAAGAAGAUUAAUGUACACUCCAUGGGUCCUCGACGU
This is a long non-coding RNA of Armigeres subalbatus, 1217 nucleotides long. RefSeq lists it as uncharacterized. Lineage: Eukaryota; Metazoa; Arthropoda; Insecta; Diptera; Culicidae. The record is from RefSeq and is a predicted model, not a curated record. The transcript has 3 exons.